GAUGAACGCUAGCUACAGGCUUAACACAUGCAAGUCGAGGGGCAGCAUGGUCUUAGCUUGCUAAGGCCGAUGGCGACCGGCGCACGGGUGAGUAACACGUAUCCAACCUGCCGUCUACUCUUGGACAGCCUUCUGAAAGGAAGAUUAAUACAAGAUGGCAUCAUGAGUCCGCAUGUUCACAUGAUUAAAGGUAUUCCGGUAGACGAUGGGGAUGCGUUCCAUUAGAUAGUAGGCGGGGUAACGGCCCACCUAGUCUUCGAUGGAUAGGGGUUCUGAGAGGAAGGUCCCCCACAUUGGAACUGAGACACGGUCCAAACUCCUACGGGAGGCAGCAGUGAGGAAUAUUGGUCAAUGGGCGAGAGCCUGAACUAGCAAUGCCGCGUGAGUGAGGGAGGUCUUC
Molecule: ribosomal RNA, 400 nt
Filed under: uncultured bacterium
Lineage: Bacteria
Description: bacterial SSU rRNA
Rfam family: Bacterial small subunit ribosomal RNA
Source: RNAcentral